AUUUUGGACAAUGGGCGAAAGCCUGAUCCAGCAAUGCCGCGUGUGUGAAGAAGGCCUUCGGGUUGUAAAGCACUUUUGUCCGGAAAGAAAUCCUUGGUUCUAAUAUAGCCGGGGGAUGACGGUACCGGAAGAAUAAGCACCGGCUAACUACGUGCCAGCAGCCGCGGUAAUACGUAGGGUGCGAGCGUUAAUCGGGAUUACUGGGCGUAAAGCGUGCGCAGGCGGUUUGCUAAGACCGAUGUGAAAUCCCCGGGCUCAACCUGGGAACUGCAUUGGUGACUGGCAGGCUAGAGUAUGGCAGAGGGGGGUAGAAUUCCACGUGUAGCAGUGAAAUGCGUAGAGAUGUGGAGGAAUACCGAUGGCGAAGGCAGCCCCCUGGGCCAAUACUGACGCUCAUGCACGAAAGCGUGGGGAGCAAAC
RNAcentral lists this ribosomal RNA (420 nucleotides) under uncultured bacterium. RNAcentral describes it as "partial 16S ribosomal RNA". It matches the Rfam family "Bacterial small subunit ribosomal RNA", at positions 361 to 773 of the family's 1533-position model. The record is from RNAcentral.